RNAcentral lists this transfer RNA (62 nucleotides) under Camelus bactrianus (Bactrian camel). It matches the Rfam family "tRNA". From Rfam's summary of the family: Transfer RNA (tRNA) molecules are approximately 80 nucleotides in length. The record is from Rfam by way of RNAcentral. Lineage: Eukaryota; Metazoa; Chordata; Mammalia; Artiodactyla; Camelidae. RNAcentral also lists the same sequence under 2 other names.
GAAGGUAUAGCUCAGUGGUAGAGCACAUGUUUAGCAUGCUGGUUCAAUCCCCAGUACCUCCA